CCCCAGCCCUGCAAGGGUAAGAUACAGGCUCGUCAUCUGUGCACGCGUCCAUCUGAGUGGGACGUGAGUCCUGGCAGCUGCCGCCACCGCGCCGGUCCCUCCUGUAAUCCAAGCCUGGUGUCCGAGGACGCGAGGCAAGCGCCGCGGCUCGGGUUGCCCUAAACGCGCUGGUCUAUCAUGCCACCGUCCAACACAAUUAGCCGCUGACACCAGGUGCUGCCUGGCUCUCGCCACGUUGCACUUCUCGCGUUUCUCGUAACGGUGUUUGUCAAGUGCGCCCCCUUUUCAAUGAGCCGCGCUGCGCCCUCCACUUCCGCAUCCAACUGCGCAGGUGCCGGGGCCUCGGCGCCGCGUCUGGCAAACCCGCUCUGCUAAGCGCGGCGUCUGGCCCAGUGGGGGCGAAACGGGAAGGCCUGUCACAAAGCAAAGCGUUUUCCACGUGCUGCGGCUGAAGCCACUCCCCUUUUGUGCAUGCUUCCAGAAGAGACGAAGGAAAGCGUCUACACAUAAGCUCAGUUGGAGUGUAUAUCAAUUCAACGACUAAUUUCCACCACCAGUGAGCCAAGUAUUAAACACUACUUGAAUAUACCCUUCGGUUAUCAUCAACCUAAUACAUACGUAUCAACUGCUUUCAUUGGGGACAAAAAUGAAGGUUAUUGAAAAGAAUCAUGCUUGGUAGAAGACGUAAUUACAUUUUUUUUCAAAUGUCAGAGGAAUAAUGCUUUUAUAUUUCCUGAGAUGACCCAAUUUGCACUACGAUAUGCUCCCUUAAAUGAGAAAAACAACGAUAGCCCAUAGAUGAUCUGAAGACAGAAUGAAUUGGAACGCUUGUGCUUGGAAGGAAAGUGAAGUUUUUUGUACAGUCAAGGUCUCCAGCCUGCUGAAUGCAGAUCUUGGACUUCUCAGCCUCCACAGUCAUAUGCAGGAGUGAUAAAGGGGAACUGAGGACUAAAUUGUUUCAAUGGUCUUCCUAAGGGGCCUGGAAGAAGUCACGUCUACAAGCCAGAACUUACAUAUCUUUCUGCUGACCCAAAAUUUUUAAACAAAACUUUUCUUCCUUAACCAACUGCAAAUCAGAAAAAUCUUAGAAUCUACUUAUGACCUGUAAGCCUCUGCUUCAAGAUAUCCCAUCUUUUUAAACCAAAGCAAUGAAUAAGCUCCAUAUAUUGAUUUAUGAUUUUGCCUGUAACUUUUGCUUUCUUGAAAUAUACCCAUUUCUUUAAAGACAAUUGCUUGAAAGCCAUCAGGAAGAUGGGUCUGAUGCAUGCACUGCCACAUUCUCCGUGCCUGGUACCCUGCAAAUAAAUGCCUUCCAUUCUGCAGUGGCAAACCUCAGUGUGAAUAUUUGGCCACUGUGUGAAUAUUAACCCACUGUAUGAGUGGACUCACUUUAGUUUGGUAACAAAACCUAUGGGGAAUAUAAAAAGCUCUAACAUACACAUUAUUGGUGUUAUAGGAGACAAAAAGAAACAAGUAGGAAAAAAUAUUUUAGGAGGUGAUGACCAAAAAUUUCUCAAAGCCAGAGUUUUUAUAAGCUCAUGAUCCUCCUAUAGGGUGCAUACAAAUAAUACCACAUAUUUUCUCAUAAGCAUUAGACUGCUGAAAACCAAGGAAAAAGACAGACUCCUAAACCUGGCUGACAGAAAUGUCAUAAUGUUUAGAACAAAAAGGCAAUUUAUCAUUGGCUCUCUAUUAGAAAAAUUGGAGGCCAGAAAAUUGUGAAAUACUGUCUUAAAAAGCUCUAGGAGAAAAAAAUAUAUGUACACACACAUGUAUAUUUAUACACACAUAUACAUAUAUAUCAACCCAGAAAUGUACAGUGAAAAUAUUUUUUAAGAGUAAAAGCAAAUUAAAUACACUUCCAAAUCAAAGAAGAGUAAAAGAUUAGUCAGAAGAAGAACUAUGCUAUAAAAAAGUAAAGAUCUUCAGGCAGAAGGGACAUGGUGCCAGAUAGAAACCCACGUGUUUAGAAUUGAAUAAAAAAGAAGUCACUGGAAAUGUGUAAAUGGAAAUGGUAAAUACUCAAGAUGUGAGGAAUUAACGAAGAUUUUUUAGUAUAAGUCUGAAUUAUUCGUGAGCUUGUUAUUCAGUUACUAAUCUGUGAAAUGUUCCAAGAAAAUACAAAGAACAUUUCAAAGAUAUAUAGCUAUGAUAUUGUAAAAUGUAUAUUUGUUCCUUUACCCUGUUUCUGGCAAUACAAUUUUUAAAAAUCCUUAGAAUCUCCAAAGUGGUGUCUUUUUUUAUGGUAAUGAGUUGACUGACAGCUGGUAAGUCCUGGGCAGCUUGAAGUUGGGGGUUGGUCAUCUGAAUGACCUAAGCAGGGUUAGAGGAUUGGGACAUUCAACUCCAACCUUCAAGGAGGGGAGAAGGGCUGCAGGCUUAAUCUUAAACAUGACUGAGAAAAAUGUCAUCGUUUUAUAAAAACAAACUGUAAUUGGCUUUUCAUUAAAAAAAAUGAAGGCAAGAAAAUAGUGAAAUAUGGUCUUAUAAGUUCUUAAAAAAAAAAAA
Cebus imitator (Panamanian white-faced capuchin) is the source of this 2508-nucleotide long non-coding RNA. RefSeq lists it as uncharacterized. Lineage: Eukaryota; Metazoa; Chordata; Mammalia; Primates; Cebidae. The transcript is spliced from 6 exons. The record is from RefSeq and is a predicted model, not a curated record.